AACGAACGCUGGCGGCAUGCCUAACACAUGCAAGUCGAACGAGACCUUCGGGUCUAGUGGCGCACGUGUGCGUAACGCGUGGGAACCUGCCCUUAGGUUCGGAAUAACUCCCCGAAAGGGGUGCUAAUACCGGAUAAUGUCUUCGGACCAAAGAUUUAUCGCCUUUGGAUGGGCCCGCGUUGGAUUAGCUAGUUGGUAGGGUAAAAGCCUACCAAGGCGACGAUCCAUAGCUGGUCUGAGAGGAUGAUCAGCCACACUGGGACUGAGACACGGCCCAGACUCCUACGGGAGGCAGCAGUGGGGAAUAUUGGACAAUGGGCGAAAGCCUGAUCCAGCAAUGCCGCGUGAGUGAUGAAGGCCUUAGGGUUGUAAAGCUCUUUUACCCGGGAUGAUAAUGACAGUACCGGGAGAAUAAGCACCGGCUAACUCCGUG
RNAcentral lists this ribosomal RNA (433 nucleotides) under uncultured bacterium. Its description in RNAcentral is "partial 16S ribosomal RNA". It matches the Rfam family "Bacterial small subunit ribosomal RNA", at positions 29 to 507 of the family's 1533-position model. The record is from RNAcentral.